This 1874-nucleotide long non-coding RNA is filed under the name Homo sapiens (human). RNAcentral describes it as "non-protein coding lnc-PRICKLE2-3:1". The record is from RNAcentral. Lineage: Eukaryota; Metazoa; Chordata; Mammalia; Primates; Hominidae.
CGGGCUGAUGCGAAUCACUGGGAAACUGGCUUUGGCACCUCCAGAGAAUGAACUGUUUCAUAGCCUAGCUGACCAUCCAUGAAAAUGGCUGCCUGGAGAGGCAGUGAUCAGCCCAUCCCUGCAGGGUGAAGAUAAGCUUGUGCAGGCCACUGGCUAACACAGUUCAUCCCAUGCCUCCUACAUACCAAGCACUGUGCCAGGCACUUUUCACGUCUGGCAUCCUCAGAAUCCUCCAAAAGGUCGGAUUCAGACAAUCCGGUGGAGCACUCUGAAAUUUAGAGGAAGUGGUCAAAUAGAAUUUUCUGGAAUUAUGGAAAUCUUCUAUUCUGUGCAUCUAGUAUAGUAGAAUCUAGUCACAUGUGGCUUUUGAGAACUGGAAAUAUGGCUAAUGCAACAGAGAAAGUGAAUUUUUACUUUUGAUUCAUUUAAAUAUAAAUGGUCACAUAUGACAUCACUGCCAUAUUGGACAUUGCAGUUCUGGAAGAUGGCAGAUGCAGCCCUCAGAAGAAUUAUCAGCCUGAAUGUCUGGGCGGAGCAGAGCACUACCUUCCCACUCACUCUUCCCCUCCUCUCGCCCCCUCCCCUGCCUCACUUGCAUCAGAUUAUGAUGUGAGCAAAAGCAGGAAACAGCUCUUUUGAUAGGCCUGUGAGACUUGCUGUUCGUUGGAGUAGCUAGGCUGCUCUGACUCAUACAGACCCAAAUCCUGGCAACCACUUUUAUGAAGAAAUGACAAUUCAGUCUACUACUUGUCCAUUUUACAUGCCCAAGGAAUGUGAGGGGCCUCUGCUUGGAUCUAGUUUUCAACCUAGUCUAUGGCAUUGAUUAUCCUUUUAAAAGACAAAAGAGGUGACUUCACGGGCACUUAACAUCUUGGCCAUACUGACCCCAGUUGCACGCUACGUAGGAAGUUUUAGUCCAUUUAAACUGAAGUUCCAAUUUUUUUUUUAACAACUAUUUAAAAAUUGUACAUGUCCCAUACAUGACAGAGAAAGGGUUGUCUGGUUGGAUGAUUUUUGGCUUGCAAAAAGAGAACACAAAAGAAAAGCAUACGUUUUAAUACUCAAGAGACCAAAUUUUCUGCUGAAGAGGAAAUGAACUACAUAUCCAGAAGGGUCCUACCAAGAGGCCAAACAGACUGUGUUCUCUUGGGGGAGUUCUCAGUGGUGAUGAGAACACCACUUUUUUUUUUUUUUUAGUCAUUUUCAAGGUGAGAUAUUGACUUGCUGCUGGAGCAGGACAACUGGUCUCUCUUUCAUUGCUAGCAGCAGAGUAAGGGUCUUGCAAGUUUCAGGCAGCAGCAGAGAAAGGGUCUUGCAAGUUUCAGUCCAAAGCAAGAAGAGCUAGGAUUGCACCAGCUGUCUCACCUACUCUGUGCUCACCUGUUUCUGGAUGAAGCACGGUGACAUCUGUUUUAUUGUAAAGAGAACCAACUUUGGAAUCAAAUGGAACCUGUAUUAAAAUCCUGAAUCCGUCACUAGCUUGGACAAGUCACUUCACUUCUCUGAACCUUGUUUUAUUCCAGUUAAGAAUAAUAGUAAGCCAGUCCCACAGAGCUGUAGCAAGGUUAAAAUGAAUGGUUGUCUGUAGAAGCAUUUAAAAUAGGGCUUCAUACAGAGCCAGUACCUGGGGAGACUGAGGGUUUGAACCACAUAGUUCCACUCUGGCAAAUCACAGAGGGGCUGUAGGAUGGUCCUUUAAGGGGGAUGUGUUAUGGGUUAAUUGGAACAGUGCUUCUUAAACUCCAGUGUGCAUUCAUAUUGCUUAGGGGUUUUGUUUAAAUGCAGAUUCUGAGUUACUAGGAUUAUGCAAUUUGAAUGAGCUUGCAGAUAAUUUCAUGGCUGCUGGUCUCUGACAUCACCUUUGAGAAGCAAAG